UACGUAGGGUGCAAGCGUUAAUCGGAAUUACUGGGCGUAAAGCGUGCGCAGGCGGUUUUGUAAGUCUGUCGGGAAAUCCCCGGGCUUAACCUGGGAAUUGCGAUGGAGACUGCAAGGCUAGAAUCUGGCAGAGGGGGGUAGAAUUCCACGUGUAGCAGUGAAAUGCGUAGAGAUGUGGAGGAACACCGAUGGCGAAGGCAGCCCCCUGGGUCAAGAUUGACGCUCAUGCACGAAAGCGUGGGGAGCAAACAGG
RNAcentral lists this ribosomal RNA (253 nucleotides) under uncultured bacterium. Its description in RNAcentral is "partial 16S ribosomal RNA". It matches the Rfam family "Bacterial small subunit ribosomal RNA", at positions 524 to 776 of the family's 1533-position model. The record is from RNAcentral.